Molecule: transfer RNA, 84 nt
Filed under: Kitasatospora aureofaciens
Lineage: Bacteria; Bacillati; Actinomycetota; Actinomycetes; Kitasatosporales; Streptomycetaceae
Also listed under: 2 other names
Description: Streptomyces aureofaciens tRNA
Rfam family: tRNA
About the family: Transfer RNA (tRNA) molecules are approximately 80 nucleotides in length. Their secondary structure includes four short double-helical elements and three loops (D, anti-codon, and T loops).
Source: Rfam by way of RNAcentral
GCGGCCUUGGCGGAGCUGGCAGUCGCGCCGGACUUAGGAUCCGGUGGGGGAAACCCCGUGAGGGUUCGAGUCCCUCAGGCCGCA